RNAcentral lists this small nuclear RNA (106 nucleotides) under Jaculus jaculus (lesser Egyptian jerboa). The record is from RNAcentral. Lineage: Eukaryota; Metazoa; Chordata; Mammalia; Rodentia; Dipodidae.
UUCACUUCAGCCACAUAUACUAAAAUUGGAAUGUUACAGAGAAGAUUAUUAGGCCCCUGCACAAGAGUGACACACAAAUUCAUGAAGCAUUCCAUAGCCCAUUUUU